AUACGGAGGGUCCAAGCGUUAUCCGGAAUCAUUGGGUUUAAAGGGUCCGCAGGCGGUCAAUUAAGUCAGAGGUGAGAGCCCAUCGCUCAACGAUGGAACUGCCUUUGAUACUGGUUGACUUGAGUUAUACGGAAGUAGAUAGAAUAAGUAGUGUAGCGGUGAAAUGCAUAGAUAUUGCUUAGAAUACCGAUUGCGAAGGCAGUCUACUACGUAUAUACUGACGCUGAGGGACGAAAGCGUGGGGAGCGAACAGGAUUAGAAACCCUAGUAGUCC
RNAcentral lists this ribosomal RNA (274 nucleotides) under uncultured bacterium. Its description in RNAcentral is "partial 16S ribosomal RNA". It matches the Rfam family "Bacterial small subunit ribosomal RNA", at positions 523 to 796 of the family's 1533-position model. The record is from RNAcentral.